RNAcentral lists this ribosomal RNA (427 nucleotides) under uncultured bacterium. RNAcentral describes it as "partial 16S ribosomal RNA". It matches the Rfam family "Bacterial small subunit ribosomal RNA", at positions 355 to 774 of the family's 1533-position model. The record is from RNAcentral.
UGGGGAAUAUUGCACAAUGGGCGCAAGCCUGAUGCAGCCAUGCCGCGUGUAUGAAGAAGGCCUUCGGGUUGUAAAGUACUUUCAGCGGGGAGGAAGGCGAUAAGGUUAAUAACCUUGUCGAUUGACGUUACCCGCAGAAGAAGAACCGGCUAACUCCGUGCCAGCAGCCGCGGUAAUACGGCGGGUGCAAGCGUUAAUCGGAAUUACUGGGCGUAAAGCGCACGCAGGCGGUCUGUCAAGUCGGAUGUGAAAUCCCCGGGCUCAACCUGGGAACUGCAUUCGAAACUGGCAGGCUAGAGUCUUGUAGAGGGGGGUAGAAUUCCAGGUGUAGCGGUGAAAUGCGUAGAGAUCUGGAGGAAUACCGGUGGCGAAGGCGGCCCCCUGGACAAAGACUGACGCUCAGGUGCGAAAGCGUGGGGAGCAAACA